UGCGUAGGCGGCUCUAUAAGUCAGUAGUGAAAUCUCGAAGCUCAACUUCGAACGUGCUAUUGAAACUGUAGAGCUUGAGUACAGACGAGGCAGGCGGAAUGUGUUGUGUAGCGGUGAAAUGCUUAGAUAUAACACAGAACACCGAUAGCGAGGGCAGCUUGCCAGACUGUAACUGACGCUGAGGCACGAAAGCGUGGGGAGCGAACAGGAUUAGAUACCCUGGUAGUCC
This 229-nucleotide ribosomal RNA is filed under the name uncultured bacterium. RNAcentral describes it as "partial 16S ribosomal RNA". It matches the Rfam family "Bacterial small subunit ribosomal RNA", at positions 568 to 796 of the family's 1533-position model. The record is from RNAcentral.